CCUACGGGAGGCAGCAGUGAGGAAUAUUGGUCAAUGGGCGCGAGCCUGAACCAGCCAAGUCGCGUGAGGGAAGACGGCCCUACGGGUUGUAAACCUCUUUUGCCGGGGAGCAAAGGGCGCCACGUGUGGCGCCACUGAGAGUACCCGGAGAAAAAGCAUCGGCUAACUCCGUGCCAGCAGCCGCGGUAAUACGGAGGAUGCGAGCGUUAUCCGGAUUUUUUGGGUUUAAAGGGAGCGUAGGUGGAUUGUUAAGUCAGUUGUGAAAGUUUGCGGCUCAACCGUAAAAUUGCAGUUGAAACUGGCAGUCUUGAGUACAGUAGAGGUGGGCGGAAUUCGUGGUGUAGCGGUGAAAUGCUUAGAUAUCACGAAGAACUCCGAUUGCGAAGGCAGCCUGCUGGACUGUAACUGACGCUGAUGCUCGAAAGUGUGGGUAUCAAACAGGAUUAGAUACCCCAGUAGUC
This 461-nucleotide ribosomal RNA is filed under the name uncultured bacterium. Its description in RNAcentral is "partial 16S ribosomal RNA". It matches the Rfam family "Bacterial small subunit ribosomal RNA", at positions 338 to 795 of the family's 1533-position model. The record is from RNAcentral.